GGUAUAAUCCAUUUACAUAUGCUCUGUAUCCAUCAUUGGGAUUCUAAUUUGCUUUGAACUGAGGAAGAAAUAUAUGUAAGUUGCUUGUUUGCUUUGCGAUUUAGCAAUGUAGCCUUUCCAUUGGUGUUGAUGGUUUGAUUCAGGUCGAUUUUUCGACCAAAUGGAUACUGACAGUUGAGUGUAAGAUAUCCAAAAUAACUAAGUUGCUGAUAGAAUGUAAGUUUGUGUUGCAAGUAGAUCUAUCUUUUAUAGGCAUUACCAUUGACCGCCCCAUACCCCAAGGUAAACAAUACAUUAGGAAGAGCACCUAUCACACUAGCCUUGGCAUAAGAGUGAAGAAUAAAUGAAAAUAUAUACCCAGAAUUGAAAUCAUAGAAGAAAAAGGAUUAAGCAUAUGCCCAUAAAAGGAAGAGAAAUUAGUGCAUGUGUAUUAAAGAGGAGAGUAGAAAAAUCAAAUAAAAUAAAAAAGAUAAGGACUCGAAUCAACUUACACCAUUACCUUAGACACUGGAAGAACAAAUUAGGUACGGUAAAAAUGUGGCUUCCAGUUGGAGCUGUUAAACCAGACUCAUUGAACAAAGGGUCCAACAACUCUCAUGGAUUGAAUCAUUGGUCAUUGUACAUAUAGAAGAUGAAAAAUUAAGAGAAUUGUUUGGCUAUAGACCUACUUAAUGGACUGUGAUGAACAUAUGAAGUGUAAAAAUUUGACUCACGAGAAGAAAUUGAGGAGGAAGAUAAGAGAGAGGAGAAUGAGAGUGUGAUACUGAGGGGUGGGGCGUCUGCUAUUGAGGUUUCUGGAAAGGAGAUGGCUAACUUAACGACGUCUCGGAAUAAGAGUGGUUGAAGGUUAAGACAUGUAUAUAGAAGUGGCAGUGGGCAGUUUAUAAUCAGUUGAUCAGAUUGGAGUGGUUUUGGAAAAUUACUUCCAAACAUGCCAUGAAAUUGGAAAAGCCGAAAUUAAGUUAACCAACAGACCUAUUAAACCAAUGUGUACCAACUCUGGUUUCAGUCUGUUUCCUUAAUUUAUUGGCUUUGACUUGCACCCUUAAUUAUUCAGUUGUGAGGAAUUGGUCUAGCUUUUUGAAAGACAAUCCAGCAGUCUUGCUGUUUCAGAUUUAACUUCACCAUAUCUUGUUAGAAUGGAAGGCACUGUAGUUUCUUUCAUUUGAUUAUGCCAAGAGCUGAGCAUGAUGUUCAAAUUUGUGAUCUUGAUAGGUAGUGGAAAA
Cucurbita maxima (winter squash) is the source of this 1226-nucleotide long non-coding RNA. RefSeq lists it as uncharacterized. The transcript has 2 exons. NCBI's taxonomy places the organism in Eukaryota, Viridiplantae, Streptophyta, Magnoliopsida, Cucurbitales, Cucurbitaceae. The record is from RefSeq and is a predicted model, not a curated record.